This is a long non-coding RNA of Podarcis raffonei (Aeolian wall lizard), 346 nucleotides long. RefSeq lists it as uncharacterized. The transcript has 2 exons. The record is from RefSeq and is a predicted model, not a curated record. Lineage: Eukaryota; Metazoa; Chordata; Lepidosauria; Squamata; Lacertidae.
CCUCCUAUGUCAUUAAUAUUGAUGCUUUGGUAACGCAGAAGUCCCACAUCUAGCCACAACUCAGAGUGAAGAGAGGGUUGUGUGGUCUCUCAGCAAGCACAAAGGCAGCUCACCCUGGAAAUGGAAGGUUUUCUGAUCAACAGUUAUUGUGAAGGUGCUGUCGUCCUCAUCAUCUAUACCAAUCACAGCUCCCUGUGAAACAAAGAGCAAAAAUUCUGAUAAGGCAGAGCAGUGACAUCAGCAGCAUGCAGUCUAUUGCUACACGACCAGAAUGCAAAAUUCAUGAACAAAUUUUUGCAAGGCUUCCAGAGUCAAUACUUGAAAAUUAAAUGAGGAAUUUACAAAA